This 521-nucleotide ribosomal RNA is filed under the name uncultured bacterium. Its description in RNAcentral is "bacterial SSU rRNA". It matches the Rfam family "Archaeal small subunit ribosomal RNA", at positions 345 to 866 of the family's 1478-position model. The record is from RNAcentral.
AACCUCCGCAAUGUGAGAAAUCGCGACGGGGGGAUCCCAAGUGCCAUUCUUAACGGGAUGGCUUUUCAUUAGUGUAAAGAGCUUUUGGAAUAAGAGCUGGGCAAGACCGGUGCCAGCCGCCGCGGUAACACCGGCAGCUCUAGUGGUAACAAUUUUUAUUGGGCCUAAAGCGUCCGUAGCCGGUUUAAUAAGUCUCUGGUGAAAUCCUGUAGCUUAACUGUGGGAAUUGCUGGAGAUACUAUUAGACUUGAGACCGGGAGAGGUUAGAGGUACUCCCAGGGUAGAGGUGAAAUUCUGUAAUCCUGGGAGGACCGCCUGUUGCGAAGGCGUCUAACUGGAACGGUUCUGACGGUGAGGGACGAAAGUUAGGGGCGCGAACCGGAUUAGAUACCCGGAUAGUCCUAACUGUAAACGAUGCGGACUUGGUGUUGGGGUGGCUUUGAGCUGCUCCAGUGCCGAAGGGAAGCUGUUAAGUCCGCCGCCUGGGAAGUACGGUCGCAAGACUGAAACUUAAAGGAAUU